UACGUAGGGGGCAAGCGUUGUCCGGAAUCAUUGGGCGUAAAGCGCGCGUAGGCGGCUCGAUCAGUCUGCUGUAAAAGUCAAAGGCUCAACCUUUGAAAGCCGGUGGAUACUGUCGAGCUCGAGUCCGGAAGAGGCGAGUGGAAUUCCUGGUGUAGCGGUGGAAUGCGCAGAUAUCAGGAGGAACACCAACGGCGAAGGCAGCUCGCUGGGACGGUACUGACGCUAAGGCGCGAAAGCGUGGGGAGCGAACAGG
This 253-nucleotide ribosomal RNA is filed under the name uncultured bacterium. Its description in RNAcentral is "partial 16S ribosomal RNA". It matches the Rfam family "Bacterial small subunit ribosomal RNA", at positions 524 to 776 of the family's 1533-position model. The record is from RNAcentral.